GAUGAAGAACGUAGCGAAAUGCGAUACGUAAUGUGAAUUGCAGAAUUCAGUGAAUCAUCGAAUCUUUGAACGCAUAUUGCGCUCUCUGGUAUUCCGGAGAGCAUGCUUGUUUGAGUAUCAGUAAACACCUCAACUUCCAUAUCUUUUUUGAAAUGGGAGUUGGACUUGAGUGAUCCCAACGCUUUUCCUCACCGAAAAGUGGCGGGUUACUUGAAAUGCAGGUGCAGCUGGACUUUUCUCUGAGCUAAAAGCAUAUCUAUUUAGUCUGCCUAAAAAACAGAUUAUUACCUUUGCUGCAGCUAACAUAAAGGAGAUUAGUUCUUGUGCUGACUGAUGCAGGAUUCACAAAGACAGGCUUCGGCCGACUUUGUAAACUCGAUCUCAAAUCAAGUAAGACUACCCGCUGAACUUAAGCAUAUCAAUAAGCGGAGGA
RNAcentral lists this unclassified non-coding RNA (433 nucleotides) under soil metagenome. RNAcentral's name for it is "partial contains 5.8S ribosomal RNA, internal transcribed spacer 2, and large subunit ribosomal RNA". The stretch from base 1 to 120 matches the Rfam family "5.8S ribosomal RNA", at positions 35 to 154 of the family's 154-position model. The record is from RNAcentral.